UAAUGCAACGUUUGGCAGAACCUGAAUAAAAAUAGCCAUAUCUAUAUUAUAUAGCAUGACCCUGCUUAUGAGCUAUACCAACACAAAAAUCAUGUACAUGGUUUAAAUUUUAAAUAAUAAUAACAUAAAGAAAGAAACAUAUGGAAUAGAAAAUUGAAACAGAAAGGACUCCAAGAAUAGCAAUAAGCAGUUGUCUUGCUCACAAGGCUGGCAUUGCCAAAUGCCUCUGUCCCUCCACGAAAGAUGUAUUACUUACCAUCCUAAGUCUAAAAGGAUUACUUUAAUGUUUAUCACCAUAUAUCACGUCAU
Molecule: unclassified non-coding RNA, 309 nt
Filed under: Hevea brasiliensis (rubber tree)
Lineage: Eukaryota; Viridiplantae; Streptophyta; Magnoliopsida; Malpighiales; Euphorbiaceae
Source: RNAcentral